GCCCCAGUGGCCUAAGAGAUAAGGCACCGGUGUUCUAAGUCAGGGAUUGUGGGUUUGAGUCCCACCUGGGGUG
This 73-nucleotide transfer RNA is filed under the name Taeniopygia guttata (zebra finch). It matches the Rfam family "tRNA". From Rfam's summary of the family: Transfer RNA (tRNA) molecules are approximately 80 nucleotides in length. Lineage: Eukaryota; Metazoa; Chordata; Aves; Passeriformes; Estrildidae. The record is from Rfam by way of RNAcentral.